Ictidomys tridecemlineatus (thirteen-lined ground squirrel) is the source of this 100-nucleotide small nuclear RNA. NCBI's taxonomy places the organism in Eukaryota, Metazoa, Chordata, Mammalia, Rodentia, Sciuridae. The record is from Ensembl.
GUGCUCACUUCAGCAGCACAUAUACUAAAAUUGGAAUGAUACAGAGAAGAUUAGCAUGUGCAAGGAUGACAUGGAAAUUUGUGAAGCAUUCCAUAUUAAA